RNAcentral lists this non-coding RNA (157 nucleotides) under Candidatus Omnitrophota bacterium. RNAcentral describes it as "Candidatus Omnitrophica bacterium 6S RNA". It matches the Rfam family "6S / SsrS RNA". From Rfam's summary of the family: E. coli 6S RNA was the first non coding RNA to be sequenced, but its function was unknown until recently. It consists of 184 nucleotides that fold into an extended hairpin structure with a large single-stranded internal bulge. The 6S RNA specifically associates with RNA polymerase holoenzyme containing the sigma70 specificity factor. Lineage: Bacteria; Pseudomonadati; Candidatus Omnitrophota. The record is from RNAcentral.
AUAUCCCUGCAGUGCGCGUUGGAAGUCCGGUGAUUGUUGAACCAACACCAACAUAAUGGGGCCUAACUUCUUUUGUGCUGAGGUACGAGAGAGAGGGCACCCACCUGUGAAAAUCCGGUUCAGGCUAUCAUAUUCCAACGGCACAGGCGGGGAUUUU